GCCUGAGUGGCUCAGUGGUUGAGCGUCUGCCUUUGGCUCAGGGAGUGAUCCUGGAUUCCGGGUUCGAGUCCCACAUCAGGCU
This 82-nucleotide transfer RNA is filed under the name Canis lupus familiaris (dog). It matches the Rfam family "tRNA". From Rfam's summary of the family: Transfer RNA (tRNA) molecules are approximately 80 nucleotides in length. Their secondary structure includes four short double-helical elements and three loops (D, anti-codon, and T loops). Further hydrogen bonds mediate the characteristic L-shaped molecular structure. tRNAs have two regions of fundamental functional importance: the anti-codon, which is responsible for specific mRNA codon recognition, and the 3' end, to which the tRNAs corresponding amino acid is attached (by aminoacyl-tRNA synthetases). tRNAs cope with the degeneracy of the genetic code in two manners: having more than one tRNA (with a specific anti-codon) for a particular amino acid; and 'wobble' base-pairing, i.e. permitting non-standard base-pairing at the 3rd anti-codon position. RNAcentral also lists the same sequence under 1 other name. Lineage: Eukaryota; Metazoa; Chordata; Mammalia; Carnivora; Canidae. The record is from Rfam by way of RNAcentral.